This 465-nucleotide ribosomal RNA is filed under the name uncultured bacterium. RNAcentral's name for it is "partial 16S ribosomal RNA". It matches the Rfam family "Bacterial small subunit ribosomal RNA", at positions 28 to 507 of the family's 1533-position model. The record is from RNAcentral.
GACGAACGCUGGCGGCGUGCUUAACACAUGCAAGUCGAACGGAAAGGCCCCUUUGGGGGUACUCGAGUGGCGAACGGGUGAGUAACACGUGAGUAACCUGCCCUUGACUUCGGGAUAACUUCAGGAAACUGGGGCUAAUACCGGAUAGGAAUCCUUGCUGCAUGGUGGGGGUUGGAAAGCUUCGGCGGUUUUGGAUGGACUCGCGGCUUAUCAGCUUGUUGGUGGGGUAGUGGCUUACCAAGGCUUUGACGGGUAGCCGGCCUGAGAGGGCGACCGGCCACAUUGGGACUGGGGUACGGCCCAGGCUCCCACGGGAGGCAGCAGGUGGGAAUAUUGCACAAAGGGCGGAAGCCUGAUGCAGCAACGCCGGGGGCGGGAUGACGGGCUUCGGGUUGGAAACCGCUUUCAGCAGGGGCGAAGCUUGUGGUGACGGUACCUGCAGAAGAAGCACCGGCUAACUACGUG